This 582-nucleotide ribosomal RNA is filed under the name [Candida] sp. RNAcentral describes it as "eukaryotic LSU rRNA". It matches the Rfam family "Eukaryotic large subunit ribosomal RNA", at positions 66 to 668 of the family's 3401-position model. The record is from RNAcentral. Lineage: Eukaryota; Fungi; Ascomycota; Saccharomycetes; Saccharomycetales.
CAAUGGCAUGCCUCAGUACGGCGAGUGAGCGGCAAGAGCUCAAAUUUGAAAUCUAGUACCUUCGGUGCUCGAGUUGUAAUUUGAAGGUAGUUUUCUGGUGCUGGCCCUUGUCUAUGUUCCUUGGAACAGGACGUCAUAGAGGGUGAGAAUCCCGUCUGAUGGGGUGUCCAGUGCUUUGUAGAUUUCUACCGAAGAGUCGAGUUGUUUGGGAAUGCAGCUCUAAGUGGGUGGUAAAUUCCAUCUAAAGCUAAAUAUUGGCGAGAGACCGAUAGCGAACAAGUACAGUGAUGGAAAGAUGAAAAGAACUUUGAAAAGAGAGUGAAAAAGUACGUGAAAUUGUUGAAAGGGAAGGGUAUUGGAUCAGACUUGGUGUUUUGUGAUUAUCUUCCCUUCUUGGGUUGUGCACUCGCAUUUCACUGGGCCAGCAUCGAUUCGGAUGGUAAGAUAAUGGCUUGAGAACGUGGCACUCUUCGGGGUGUGUUAUAGCUCUUGUUGAUGUUGCCUAUCUGGAUCGAGGACUGCGGCUUUUGCCUAGGAUGCUGGCGUAAUGAUUCAAUACCGCCCGUCUUGAAACACGGACCA